UGGUGCCUUCGGGAACAUUGAGACAGGUGCUGCAUGGCUGUCGUCAGCCUCCGUGUUCGUGAGAUGUUGGGUUAAGUUCCCCGUAACGAGCGCAACCCUUGUCCUUAGUUACCAGCACGUAAUGGUGGGCACUCUAAGGAGACAGCCGGUGACAAACCGGAGGAAGGUGGGGAUGACGUCAAGUCAUCAUGGCCCUUACGGCCUGGGCUACACACGUGCUACAAUGGUCGGUACAGAGGGUUGCCAAGCCGCGAGGUGGAGCUAAUCCCCAGAAAAGCCGAUCGUCAGUCCGGAU
Molecule: ribosomal RNA, 295 nt
Filed under: uncultured Pseudomonadales bacterium
Lineage: Bacteria; Pseudomonadati; Pseudomonadota; Gammaproteobacteria; Pseudomonadales
Description: partial 16S ribosomal RNA
Rfam family: Bacterial small subunit ribosomal RNA
Source: RNAcentral